Sarcophilus harrisii (Tasmanian devil) is the source of this 5324-nucleotide long non-coding RNA. The record is from Ensembl. Lineage: Eukaryota; Metazoa; Chordata; Mammalia; Dasyuromorphia; Dasyuridae.
CUUUGGUAAGUGACUGGGAACCAUUAUCAUUAUAAAAGUCAUAUAAUUGAUCUAUAAGUUUCCAAUUAUUUAGGCUUAUCUCUUCUUCCUCAAAGAACCAAGAGGACAUAUGUUCUAAUUCUAAUGUAACCAGGAAUCCAUCAAGCUACUCCCAAGUCAUAAAUAAGCCCUGUCUCUUUAUCAGUCUGAGUAUGCUUCCUGUAGAUCUCCUUUGGGGUGGGUGGAGGUUGGGGUUGGUGGUAGAUCUUUUCUCAAUAUCUGCCCCAUUACAGCUAGAAAAGGAUAUUAGUUUAGCCCUUAACAAAGUUAAGUUCCCUGUUUGUCUAUUUAAAUAAUCACCCUAUUUCCUGGUCACCAGAAACUUCUUCAGUGAAUUUAAGGUCCUCGGUUUCCACGCUUGGGCGCCAAAUGUAAUAACCAUCCUAGCAAUCAGGACAACCCUAAAAUCAGCCAAAGUCAGGAUAAGCAAAAGUCCUUAAUCUUUAUUCUUGGUCUGAGACGCAGGAUUGAACAGUAUGGAAGCAGAUUCUACGUGACCACCUUCCUCCUCAUCCAUCGCCAAGAGUGUGUCCCUUGCUCAUCUUACUCCAUUCCCUUGUUCCUCCUACAAUCCUCUAUACACCAAUCAUUGAGCAGUACGGAUAGUGGAAAGGACCAUUUUCCAAGCAUAUGCCCAUAGAGUACUGUCCAAUCAGUAGUUAACCUCAAGUGCCCAGCAGUCCCGACCUCAGUGCAUCAACCCAAUACUUUCAGCCCUCUACAGAUAAGGAAGGAAACUACACUAUGCUAAAUGGUGAAAUAUCAAUACUAAUCAUAUAUGCACCAAUUGGUAUAGCAUCCAAAUUGCUAAAGGGGAAGUUAAGAGAACUUAGACAGCAAGAAGAAGAAUUAGACAGCAAACCUAUACUAGUGGGUAAUCUCAACCUUGCUCUCUUGGAAUUAUAUAAAUCAAACCUCAAAAUCAAUAAGAAAUAAGUUGAAGUAAUUAGAAUUUUAGAAAAAUGAGAUAUGAUAGAUCUUUGGAGAAAAUUGAAUGGAGACAGAAAGGAGUAUCCUUUUUAUUAGCUGUUCAUGGAACGUAUACAAAAAUUUAUCAUGUAUUAGAAUAUAAAGAUCUCAAAAUCAAAUGAAGAAAGGUAGACAUUGUAAGUACAUUUUUUUCAGAUCAUUAUGCAAUAAAAAUCACAUGCAAUAAAAGGCCAAGGGAAAAUAGACCAAAAAUUAAUUAGAAACUAUAUAAUCUAAUCCAAAAGAAUGAAUGAGUGAAACAACAAAUCAUAGACACAAUUGAUAACUUCAUCCAAUAGAAUAACAAUAAUAAAACAACAUACCAAAAUUUGUGGAAUGAAGCCAAAUAAGUUAUUAGGGGAAAUUUUAUAUCUCUAAUUGUUUACUUGCAUAAAAUAGAAAAGAAAAGAUCAGUGAAUUGGACUUUCAACUAAAAAAGCUAACAAAAGAACAAAUUUACAACCCUCAAUUAAAUACCAAAUUUGAAAAAAAAACAAAAAACAAAAAAAGAUAAAUGUUUAGUUAAUUUGAUUAGAAAAAGGAAAGACUAUACUGCAGACAUAAUGUACACCAGGUAUUUUUAUUGUACAGAUUAGGACACUGAGAUUCUAACCAUGUCAAUAAUUUAGUUAAAUUUCAAUAUAAAGUUAUAAUUAUUUUUAAAAAAAGGAAAAUGGCCAUUAGACCUUAUGAUCUGCUCAACCAAUAUUUGAAAAUGCUCUUGGCCUUACAAUUUGUGCAUUGGAGGAUGGAGUAAACCAUUCUCCAUAUUUUACCAUAAAAUUUGCUAAUAGUAUCUAAUAUGCCUUCCACCUAGGCAUCCUCCCUACUAUUAUGAACUUAAGAAUUUGAGGUUUGAACAUUAUGAUUUCUCUUUCUCUUUCUCUCUCUUUUUUCUUUUCUUUAAAUCUCUCUCUCUUUCUCUGACUCUCUGGUCAUUAUAUCUUUGUCUCUUUGUCUCUCUGUGUGUAAUUUUUUAUUAAUGUCACUGUGUUUCUGUGUUUUCUCUCUUUCUCUCUCUGUUUGACUCUAUCUCUGUCUCUAUCUCUCAAUGUCUCUGUGUAUGUCUCUUCUCUCUGUCUGUAUUUCUCUGUGUCUCUGUCUUUAUUCAUCUUUCUCUCUCUCUCUCUCUCUCUCUGUCUCUCUCUCUCUCUAACAUACACAUGCACACACACAUGCACACACACACACAGAACUAAAAGCAGCUCUUGUUAGUUUCAUGACAUGGAACAUCAAGCUACUAUCAGUAGGGAGAUCUUAGUGCCCACUUCACCUUCCCAGCCAAACUUCAGCUUCUUUUCAUGUUUUCUUCCUUCAUUAGAUUUUAAUGUCCUUGAUGACAGUGACUGUCCCCAGCACUUGGCACAAUUCUUCACAUAAUAGUUGAUCCUUAAAAGUUGUUUAAGCUAAAAUUCAAUUGAACAAUUCAAGUAAUGUUGCUCAUGCAGACAUACAUACAGAGUUAAAAUGGCCAAUAGCUAAACAAGUAAAUUUUGAGUAAAAGAAGUAAGUUUGAGUUCUUUAGGAUAAUAGGACAAAAUAUACUCAAAUGCACUUGAUAUUUCCAUAGAAAGCAGUCAUCUUGUGAGAUAACCCAGUUAACGACUAGUGAAAUAAACUAGACAUCAAAGAAGUCAUUGAAUAUCCUUAAAUAUAAUCUCUUCUACUUUGUUUUAAAUAUAUCAUAGAUGGCUAUGAAAAAAAGAAAUCUAUUUAAUAGCUCCAGUGUAACAAAUGAAAGGAAAAACUAUUUUAUUUUUUUGAUUUGACCAUCCGAUUAGUGAAUCACAUCAUUUUAGAAGGAGUUUUCUCAUUGCAAUAAUUACAUCCUUAUUCCUCAGGCUAUAGAUCAUAGGGUUUAACACUAGAGUCACGAUAGUAUAGAAAAGAGCAAAGACUUUGUUUGAUUUAGCUGGAUGACUGGAUUUGGAUCGAACAUAAGUAAUAGUAGCAGACCCAUAGAAUAAACAUACAACCAUAAGAUGAGAAGAACAAGUAGAAAAGGCUUUGGAUUUCCCUGAAGUCGAUGGUAGUUUCAGGAUAGUAGCUAUGAUUGUGAAAUAGGAUAUGAGUAUCAACAGAAAGGGAAUCAUGACAAAACGAAAGUACUAACAAGUAAAGAGAUCUCUUUCUGAUAUGUGUCCCCACAGGCAACCUCCAGCAGUGUUGAGGAGUCACAGAAAAUAUGAUUGAGUUUGUUAGGACCACAAAAGUUCAGAGAGAAAAUAUAAUAUGUGACACCUAUCUGAGCUGGUAUUCCAGUGAUCCAGGCAGCAAUCACCAAUUGGACACAUACCUUAUGAUUCAUGAUGAGAGGAUAGUAAAGAGGCUUACAGAUGGCCACAUAUCUGUCAUAAGCCAUCACAGCCAGAAGUAAGCACUCUGCAGUUCCUAGAAUAUAAAGGAAGCAAGAUCGUAUAGCACAGGACAGGAAUAGGAUGUUUCCCUUCUGAGUCCAAAUAUCUUUUAGCAUUCUAGGGAGAGUGACUGAUGUGUAACAGAUUUCCAAGAAGGAAAAGUUUCCAAGGAAAAAGUACAUGGGAGUUUGAAGAGUAGGAUUCAUCUUAGUUAUUACAAUGAGCAGACCAUUUCCUAUGAUUAUAUUUAUAUAGAUGAUUAAAAAAAUUCCAAAUAGAAGAUUUCGGAGGUUGGGAAAGUCAGAAAAUCUCAGAAGAAUGAAUUCCACCACAAAUGUAACAUUGCUUCUUUCCAUUUGUCACUUUCUUCUGGCUGUGGAAAUAUUGAAUUCAGAAUGAGCAAAUAACUUUUUUCUCUAGGCCUCAGUUAUUAACUUAGAAAUAUAGAAAGGGGAAUGGACAGAGGGUGUUGUUUAAAUGACCUCUUAUAGCACUCUUACAAUUUAUAUGGAGUCUUCCUAUGAAUUGUAUUAUUUAAUGUUCUAUUCUAUAAAGAUCACUGCUAAGUAUAAACUUUCUAUAUUCUCUCUUAGAAGGUCAAUGUCAACAAAUGAAUUUAGCUUAAGUAUGACCUAUAUGUGAGGGAGUAUAUUAAUAUUCUAACACUAUCUUUUGAGAAUAUUAAGUGAAAAUAUGGAAUUUAGAUACUGGGACACAGAUACAUUAUUGGUGGAACUGUGAGUGGAUCCAACCAUUCUGGAGAGCAAUUUGAACUCUGUUAAAAAACUUAUCAAACUGUGCAUAUCCUUUGAUCCAGCAGUGUUUCUGUGAGAUUAUAUUUUAAAGAGACCUUAAAAGAUGGAAAGGGACCCAUAUGUGUAAAAAUGUUUGUGGCAGCCCUUUUUGUAGCGGAUAGAAACUGGAAACUUAGUGGUGUCUCUCAAUUGGAGAAUGGCUGGAUAAGUUUUGGUGUAUGAAUGCUAUGGAAUACUAUUGUUCUGAAAGAAAUGACCAAAAGGAUGAUUUCAGAGAGGCCUGGAGAGAUUUACAGGAACUGAUGCAAAGUGAAAUGUGCAGAACCGGAUCAUUAUACAUGGCAACAACAAGAUUAUAUGAUGAUCAAUUCUGAUGAACAUGGGUCUCUUCAACAUUGAGAUGAUUCAAAUCAGUUCCACUUGUACAGUGAUAAAGAGAGCCAUCUGCAUUCUAAGAGAGAACCAUGGUAACAGAGGGUGGAACAUAACAUAGCAUUCUCACUCUCUCUGUUGUUAUUUGCUUGCAUUUUUUUCCUCAGUUUUUCUUUUUCUUCCUUCUUGGUCUCAUUUUUCUUGUGCAACCAGAUAACUGUAUAAAUAUGCAUACACAUAUGGGAUCUAGCAUUUAUUUCAACAUAUUUAACAUGUAUUGGACUACCAGCCAGAUAAGGAAGGGAGUAGGGGAAAGAAAGGGAAAAUUUGCAACAAAAAGUUAUGAAAGGAUCAAUGUUGGAAAAAUUACCCAUGCAUAUACUCUGUAAAUAAAAAACUUUAAUUUAAAAAAAAAAGGAAGGAAGGAAGAUUGGGAGAAAAAUUUGUAAUACAGAUUGAGAAGGUGAAUGAUGAAAGCAAUCUGUGCAUGUUUUUGGAAAAAUAGAAUAACAUCAUAAAACAUUAACAUUCAAAAAUUAAAUUUUUUUGGACAAGGGUCUUAUCUUAGAUCUUUCCAUGUACCUUGAGCAUAAUCCGAGAAUAACAAAUGUGUAUUUAAAGUGUGAAUCACUAUUGUGUUAUGAGUUCAGGUAUACUUAGUACUCCUAAAUAUUUCUUUUAUUGAAUAAUGUGUAAAAUAACAUCUUUAGAGAUUCUCUCAUCUAUGGUAACAGAUGAUAAUUUUAAAGUAAGUUUUUCUCAUUUCAAAUUUUGGUUUGAACUUUUGGUCUAUUCAUUCCCAGUGCAAUAUAUAUUAAACUGAGAAUUACAC